RNAcentral lists this ribosomal RNA (253 nucleotides) under uncultured bacterium. RNAcentral's name for it is "partial 16S ribosomal RNA". It matches the Rfam family "Bacterial small subunit ribosomal RNA", at positions 524 to 776 of the family's 1533-position model. The record is from RNAcentral.
UACAGAGGUGGCAAGCGUUGUUCGGAAUUACUGGGCGUAAAGGGCUCGUAGGCGGCCAACUAAGUCAGACGUGAAAUCCCUCGGCUUAACCGGGGAACUGCGUCUGAUACUGGAUGGCUGGAGUUUGGGAGAGGGAUGCGGAAUUCCAGGUGUAGCGGUGAAAUGCGUAGAUAUCUGGAGGAACACCGGUGGCGAAGGCGGCAUCCUGGACCAACACUGACGCUGAGGAGCGAAAGCCAGGGGAGCAAACGGG